CCAACUCUCCACUGCGGACGGCUAAUGCCUCAAUCGUCUUCUAAACAGUGCGCGGUACAACAUAUUGAGUAUAAGUAAAAAGCCCGCGCACUGUCUAAAACAACCUGAGCUUUGGCCUAAACAGUACGACUGCCAGGCGAACAAAAAACAGUCUUUGAGACGACAAAGUCGACGCCCAGCGUCCAUUUUCAGAUAUGUUCAUUAGUUCGAUGAUGGGAUAGUGAUAGUCGUACACUACACGAGAUGUAAUGACUCGUCCACGGGCCGAGGCCGGCGCUCGUACCCAUGGGCAUGCGGAGCUGCCGCCGUCGUCGUCCCAUCACGACGGGCAUCUUCUUCAACUCGCCGCGGCCAACGCUACCCAUCAUCAUCGGCAUGCCCAUCAUAAGCUGGUGCCGGCGCCGGCGGCCGAAGAAGGGCAGGAGG
RNAcentral lists this ribosomal RNA (426 nucleotides) under Triticum aestivum (bread wheat). RNAcentral's name for it is "partial small subunit ribosomal RNA". Lineage: Eukaryota; Viridiplantae; Streptophyta; Magnoliopsida; Poales; Poaceae. The record is from RNAcentral.